GUCGAUAUGUUCGAGUGGUUAAGGAGAUAGACUUGAAAUCUAUUGGGCUUCGCCCGCGCAGGUUCGAACGCAGCUGUCGACG
Brassica napus (rape) is the source of this 82-nucleotide non-coding RNA. Lineage: Eukaryota; Viridiplantae; Streptophyta; Magnoliopsida; Brassicales; Brassicaceae. The record is from Rfam.